This is a non-coding RNA of Ictidomys tridecemlineatus (thirteen-lined ground squirrel), 69 nucleotides long. Lineage: Eukaryota; Metazoa; Chordata; Mammalia; Rodentia; Sciuridae. The record is from Rfam.
GGGGCUGUAGCUCAGUGGCAGAGCGCUUGCCUAACAAGUGUGAGACACUGAGUUUGAUCCUCAGCACCA